UACAGAGGGUGCGAGCGUUAAUCGGAAUUACUGGGCGUAAAGGGCGCGUAGGCGGAUGGCACAGUCAGAUGUGAAAUUCCCGGGCUUAACCUGGGGGCUGCAUUUGAUACGUGUUGUCUAGAGUGAGGAAGAGGGUUGUGGAAUUCCCAGUGUAGAGGUGAAAUUCGUAGAUAUUGGGAAGAACACCGGUGGCGAAGGCGGCAACCUGGUCCUUGACUGACGCUGAGGCGCGAAAGCGUGGGGAGCAAACAGG
This 253-nucleotide ribosomal RNA is filed under the name uncultured bacterium. RNAcentral describes it as "partial 16S ribosomal RNA". It matches the Rfam family "Bacterial small subunit ribosomal RNA", at positions 524 to 776 of the family's 1533-position model. The record is from RNAcentral.